Molecule: ribosomal RNA, 653 nt
Filed under: uncultured bacterium
Lineage: Bacteria
Description: bacterial SSU rRNA
Rfam family: Bacterial small subunit ribosomal RNA
Source: RNAcentral
AGAGUUUGAUCCUGGCUCAGGAUGAACGCUGGCGGCGUGCCUAAUACAUGCAAGUCGAACGCUUCACUUCGGUGAAGAGUGGCGAACGGGUGAGUAAUACAUAAGUAACCUGGCAUCUACAGGGGGAUAACUGAUGGAAACGUCAGCUAAGACCGCAUAGGUGUAGAGAUCGCAUGAACUCUAUAUGAAAAGUGCUACGGGACUGGUAGAUGAUGGACUUAUGGCGCAUUAGCUUGUUGGUAGGGUAACGGCCUACCAAGGCGACGAUGCGUAGCCGACCUGAGAGGGUGACCGGCCACACUGGGACUGAGACACGGCCCAGACUCCUACGGGAGGCAGCAGUAGGGAAUUUUCGGCAAUGGGGGAAACCCUGACCGAGCAACGCCGCGUGAAGGAAGAAGUAAUUCGUUAUGUAAACUUCUGUCAUAGAGGAAGAACGGUGGAUAUAGGGAAUGAUAUCCAAGUGACGGUACUCUAUAAGAAAGUCACGGCUAACUACGUGCCAGCAGCCGCGGUAAUACGUAGGUGGCGAGCGUUAUCCGGAAUUAUUGGGCGUAAAGAGGGAGCAGGCGGCACUAAGGGUCUGUGGUGAAAGAUCGAAGCUUAACUUCGGUAAGCCCAUGGAAACCGUAGAGCUAGAGUGUGUGAGAGGA